RNAcentral lists this ribosomal RNA (522 nucleotides) under Copidosoma nr. thebe 1 YZZ-2014. RNAcentral's name for it is "partial 28S ribosomal RNA". The record is from RNAcentral. Lineage: Eukaryota; Metazoa; Arthropoda; Insecta; Hymenoptera; Encyrtidae.
CCUGAGAAAUCCAAAAGUUCGAAUGGAGAGAUUCAGCGUCAGUGGGUGUUGGCUUGCGUGUGGUCGCGAUGCUCGUGCGCGCCGAGUGCCCUCGGGUACUCGGAACGCUCGUGGCACGUGGCUGCUGCGUCAUGUCCGACGUCGCCGGCGUGCACUUCUCUCCUAGUAGGACGUCGCGACCCGUUGGGUGCGCACAGUUCGGUCAACGGCCCGUACGGUAGACUGUCGAGCAUCACGCGAGACAGACCAUCGGUGUUCCGCUUCCCCGACCGACUGCCCGGCGGUAUUGAAAGCUUUUAUCAAGAAUGGUAUCGAGCCGCACUUUUUUUUCGAAAGAAUGCGUUCGGCCUGGCGACCGUUUGGGUCUCGCGCGGUUUUCCACGGACCUGGUGCCGUUGCCGUGCGCUUGAUUCAUUUCGAUCGUCAGUGUCCUCGAACCGGCUCGCGGGGCUCUCUUUCGAGAGGGCUCCGGCAGACACACGCAUACCGGUCAGCGACGCUUUUGCUUUGGAUACUUUCAGG